This 580-nucleotide small RNA is filed under the name Aspergillus calidoustus. Its description in RNAcentral is "eukaryotic LSU rRNA". The stretch from base 192 to 345 matches the Rfam family "5.8S ribosomal RNA". Lineage: Eukaryota; Fungi; Ascomycota; Eurotiomycetes; Eurotiales; Aspergillaceae. The record is from RNAcentral.
UCCGUAGGUGAACCUGCGGAAGGAUCAUUACCGAGUGCAGGUCUGCCCCCGGGCAGGCCUAACCUCCCACCCGUGAAUACCUGACCAACGUUGCUUCGGCGGUGCGCCCCCCCCCCCCGGGGGUAGCCGCCGGAGACCACACCGAACCUCCUGUCUUUAGUGUUGUCUGAGCUUGAUAGCAAACCUAUUAAAACUUUCAACAAUGGAUCUCUUGGUUCCGGCAUCGAUGAAGAACGCAGCGAACUGCGAUAAGUAAUGUGAAUUGCAGAAUUCAGUGAAUCAUCGAGUCUUUGAACGCACAUUGCGCCCCCUGGCAUUCCGGGGGGCAUGCCUGUCCGAGCGUCAUUGCUGCCCUUCAAGCCCGGCUUGUGUGUUGGGUCGUCGUCCCCCCCGGGGGACGGGCCCGAAAGGCAGCGGCGGCACCGCGUCCGGUCCUCGAGCGUAUGGGGCUUUGUCACCCGCUCGAUUAGGGCCGGCCGGGCGCCAGCCGGCGUCUCCAACCUUCUAUUUUACCAGGUUGACCUCGGAUCAGGUAGGGAUACCCGCUGAACUUAAGCAUAUCAAUAAGCGGAGGAAAAGA